AGUCCGAGCGGGUCCGCUGUGGA
Molecule: non-coding RNA, 23 nt
Filed under: Cricetulus griseus (Chinese hamster)
Lineage: Eukaryota; Metazoa; Chordata; Mammalia; Rodentia; Cricetidae
Source: RNAcentral